CGGAANCGUUUCGGAUNUUGGGUUUAAGGGUGCGUAGGUGGGUUAAUAAGUCAGCGGUGAAAUCCAGAUGCUUAACAUCUGAACUGCCGUUGAAACUGUUAGUCUUGAGUGUGAACGAGGUAGGCGGAAUUCGUAGUGUAGCGGUGAAAUGCAUAGAUAUUACGAAGAACUCCGAUAGCGCAGGCAGCUUACCAGGCCACAACUGACACUGAAGCACGAAAGUGUGGGUAUCAAACAGGAUUAGAUACCCUGGUAGUCCACACAGUAAACGAUGAUUACUCGCUGUUUGCGAUAUACAGUAAGCGGCCAAGCGAAAGCGUUAAGUAAUCCACCUGGGGAGUACGCCGGCAACGGUGAAACUCAAAGGAAUUGACGGGGGCCCGCACAAGCGGAGGAACAUGUGGUUUAAUUCGAUGAUACGCGAGGAACCUUACCCGGGCUCGAACGGCUAUAGAAUACAGGUGAAAGCUUGUAGCCAGCAAUGGCUGUAGUCGAGGUGCUGCAUGGUUGUCGUCAGCUCGUGCCGUGAGGUGUCGGCUUAAGUGCCAUAACGAGCGCAACCCUUAUCGUUAGUUACCAUCAGGUCAUGCUGGGGACUCUAGCGAGACUGCCACCGUAAGGUGUGAGGAAGGUGGGGAUGACGUCAAAUCAGCACGGCCCUUACGUCCGGGGCGACACACGUGUUACAAUGGGGGGGACAAAGGGUCGCUACCUGGCAACAGGAUGCUAAUCUCUAAACCCUCUCCCAGUUCGGAUCGGAGUCUGCAACUCGACUCCGUGAAGCUGGAUUCGCUAGUAAUCGCGCAUCAGCCAUGGCGC
RNAcentral lists this ribosomal RNA (819 nucleotides) under uncultured Bacteroidota bacterium. RNAcentral's name for it is "bacterial SSU rRNA". It matches the Rfam family "Bacterial small subunit ribosomal RNA", at positions 533 to 1360 of the family's 1533-position model. The record is from RNAcentral. Lineage: Bacteria; Pseudomonadati; Bacteroidota.